RNAcentral lists this ribosomal RNA (253 nucleotides) under uncultured bacterium. RNAcentral's name for it is "partial 16S ribosomal RNA". It matches the Rfam family "Bacterial small subunit ribosomal RNA", at positions 524 to 776 of the family's 1533-position model. The record is from RNAcentral.
UACGAAGGGGGCUAGCGUUGCUCGGAAUUACUGGGCGUAAAGGGCGCGUAGGCGGGUCGUUAAGUUGGGGGUGAAAGCCCAGGGCUCAACCCUGGAAUUGCCUUCAAUACUGGCGACCUUGAGUAUGGCAGAGGUGUGUGGAACUCCGAGUGUAGAGGUGAAAUUCGUAGAUAUUCGGAAGAACACCAGUGGCGAAGGCGACACGCUGGGCCAUUACUGACGCUGAGGCGCGAAAGCGUGGGGAGCAAACAGG